GACAGAGGUGGCAAGCGUUGCUCGGAGUUACUGGGCAUAAAGGGCGCGUAGGCGGUCGUGCACGUCGGUGGUGUAAUCUCCGGGCUCAACCCGGAAACUGCCUUCGAUACGGCGCGACUAGAGUGCGGGAGGGGAGAGUGGAACUUCUGGUGGAGCGGUGAAAUGCGUAGAUAUCAGAAGGAACGCCGGUGGCGAAAGUGACUCUCUGGUCCGCAACUGACGCUGAGGCGCGAAAGCUAGGGGAGCAAACGGG
Molecule: ribosomal RNA, 253 nt
Filed under: uncultured bacterium
Lineage: Bacteria
Description: partial 16S ribosomal RNA
Rfam family: Bacterial small subunit ribosomal RNA
Source: RNAcentral